RNAcentral lists this ribosomal RNA (253 nucleotides) under uncultured bacterium. Its description in RNAcentral is "partial 16S ribosomal RNA". It matches the Rfam family "Bacterial small subunit ribosomal RNA", at positions 524 to 776 of the family's 1533-position model. The record is from RNAcentral.
GACAGAGGGGGCAAGCGUUGCUCGGAAUUACUGGGCGUAAAGGGUGCGUAGGCGGCGGAGUAAGUUGGGUGUGAAAUCCCGGGGCUCAACCUCGGAAUGGCAUUCAAUACUGCUUCGCUAGAGUACUGGAGAGGAGGCUGGAAUUUACGGUGUAGCAGUGAAAUGCGUAGAUAUCGUAAGGAAGGCCGGUGGCGAAAGCGAGCCUCUGGACAGUUACUGACGCUGAUGCACGAAGGCCAGGGGAGCAAACGGG